UACGGGAGGCAGCAGUGGGGAAUAUUGCACAAUGGGCGCAAGCCUGAUGCAGCCAUGCCGCGUGUAUGAAAAAGGCCUUCGGGUUGUAAAGUACUUUCAGUCGUGAGGAAGGUGUUAAGGUUAAUAACCUUAGCAAUUGACGUUAGCGACAGAAGAAGCACCGGCUAACUCCGUGCCAGCAGCCGCGGUAAUACGGAGGGUGCGAGCGUUAAUCGGAAUUACUGGGCGUAAAGGGCACGCAGGCGGUUAAUUAAGUUGGAUGUGAAAUCCCCGGGCUUAACCUGGGAAUGGCAUUCAAGACUGGUUAGCUAGAGUCUUGUAGAGGGGGUAGAAUUCCAUGUGUAGCGGUGAAAUGCGUAGAGAUGUGGAGGAAUACCGGUGGCGAAGGUGGCCCCUGGACAAAGACUGACGCUCAUGUGCGAAAGCGUGGGGAGCAAACAGGGAUUAGAUACC
RNAcentral lists this ribosomal RNA (453 nucleotides) under uncultured bacterium. RNAcentral's name for it is "bacterial SSU rRNA". It matches the Rfam family "Bacterial small subunit ribosomal RNA", at positions 340 to 786 of the family's 1533-position model. The record is from RNAcentral.